This 33586-nucleotide long non-coding RNA is filed under the name Phaseolus vulgaris (common bean). RNAcentral's name for it is "long non-coding RNA (PVUL_LNC001908)". The record is from RNAcentral. Lineage: Eukaryota; Viridiplantae; Streptophyta; Magnoliopsida; Fabales; Fabaceae.
AUUUUUAAUAUAAUUUUAUAGCAGCUAAUCAUUCAAGAAUUUUCUCAAUGUCGUAUAAUUUACAUUACAACAUAUUACUUAACAAUCAAGUGUUUAUUCUCAAUUCUCAUAGAACAUUUACUAUUCAUGUCAGAAAUUUACUAAUAAUAAAUAGUUGACUCUACUUUUGGAAGACUCGUGGAUUGAAAUUAGACUCAGAGAUUUGCACUUGUCAUAUCACUAAGUUGUCCCCACAACAAAGUCUCAAUAUACUGAAAAUUCAUCAUACAGAGUAAAUUCCUUAUAACUUAUAUGAUAUAGUUCUUUUUCACACUACAGGAUAGGUCACAGAAACCUCCUUCAAUUCUUAAUGCUUGAACAUUUUUAUUUAUGUGAUUACAGUGUAUCAAGAUACUUAAGAUUAUCUCUUUCAUAGAAUCUCAAAAUCAAUACACCCUUCUAACAUCUCAACACGGUAUUCCCUUCUUGAAAAUGAUUGGGUCCACAUCAUAACAUAUAUUAUGCACCCGUCAAAUUACAUAAGUAUUUUCAUCUCAAACAAUGAAAUUUCUCAUCACAAUGUUCAUAUAUAUAUAAAAUCAUCAAUUUAUAAAAGAUUCAAUCAGUACAUGUAUCAUGACAACACCCAAUUACGAGGAAGAUCUCUCAAAAGCUUUAAAAUUCAAUUAAACAUAAAAAUUUAAAAAUGUAGAAGAUGCAUUUUGUUCUCAAUGAGUAACAGGAUUGCCUAACGAGGCAUUCACAGGAUCCCUAUCUCACCCAUCGAGGUUCUCUUGCCCGACUUCCAAACUCUUGGGUUUUUAGAUAAAAAAAGUUCACCCCAAGAGUGACUCACUCAGUGACUAAUGCUCUUAGAUUUUUAAUUCCCCAACUUCAGUGAGAACUUUGCACGCCCAUUGGUCAAUGCUCUUGAGUUUUCUAAUUUACGAAUUUCGCCUAAUGAGCUUAUGGCUUGCCCAACAAGUCUAUAAUGUAAAACUAGUUCAUGUGAAUCAAAUUGGAUUUUUUUUUAUCCUUUCUUACUAGUUUAGGAAACUAGAAUCUCAACUUAAGUCACUUGAUCAUAUUCAUAAUUCUACAAUUUAUCAAGUAACCUUAAAAUCAAUUUACAAAGUUUAAAACACAAAGUUUAAGAGAGAGCGUGAUGAAGAAAGAAAACGCAGAGAACGAAAGCGUAAGUGGCGCGGGCUUCGAAUUAGGGUAAUAACGAGGGUUUAGACAACGGUUCUAACCCAACAACCAUUGUCUAUUCCCUAUAUGAUUUAACUAGAAAGCGAUUCCUAUUACAAUCGAUAUCUAUCUACCCGUUUUAAUUUAAAAAAUGUCACCGCAUUUUGAUAGACAGUGUUUAUCGUAAUACACUAGUAUAAAUAAUUGAUUUUUCUAUUUAUAUAAUUUUUUUUACUUUAAUAAUAAAAUAUUCCGAUAUCAUUUUAAUUAUACUAUUUGUUAUUUUAAACUUAUUUUCAAAGGCAUUAUAUAAACAAACAUCUUUCUAUUUUAUAAGCACAUUAAACCUAAAUAUCCUUAUAUGAUAGUAGACAUUAGAAUACAAAUUUUAAAGCUGGAUUGAAAUACUACAAGAAAAAGGAAUUAUUAAUAUUUCAUGCCUUCAAAAUAAUAAUUGUUUUACUGUUAUGGAAAGGCAAAAGGAAUAUAUGAAAAAUAGAAAGAAAAAAUAGAAGAAUAUUUUAAAUAUGAUUACCUUCUAUUUUAAAUAGAAGAGUUUUGAUCCAAACACUUAUUUUCAUCCUUUUUCGUCUUUAUCGUAACUUAUCUCUUCUUUAUCAUAACUUAUGAUGUGUCAAAUAAGAAGCCUUUUGUUUUUAAAAAGUUUGUUUAGACAACCAGUUUCAUGGAUGAUGCCAGUUGAAGAUUGCUUUACACAAACUCUUUAUAAUUAUUUUAGCCAAUAAAAUAAAAUGUUCUUUUAGUUUAUAAAAAAUAAAAUGUUCUUUUAGUUUAUAAAAAAUAAUUUCAUUUUAGCACACGGAACAAAUAGUAUGUUAUUGAAAUAAGUAGAUAAUAUAUUUAUUUUUGUUUUAGUUUUUAAAACUUUUUAUUAAGUUUUUUAAUUCUUAAUUACGCCAAUAUAUUUAUGUAUACUUUUGAUCAUUUAUUUAAUUAUCUUUAAUAUAUACUGAAACAAUUGUAUCUUCUUCAAAUGAUUUUUUUUUAAUAUUAUAAAAAUACUAAUGAGAAGUGGAAUAUAAUUUUUUUAAUAUUUUAUCGUUAACUUUUUAUUUAAAAGUAUAUUAUAAGUAUUUUAAAAUUGUCUUUAAUAUUAAUUUUUAUCUAUUUUUUAAACUAUAUAUUAUAAUAUUUUUAUGUAUUUAUGGUGGUAUUGUUAAAAUAAGUUUAUGUUAAUAAAAUUAAUUUAACAUAAUAUAAGACUUUAAUUUGAAUUUGAAUAAAAUUUAAUUGUUUGAAAACUUGUAUCCCAACUAUUACACAUUUACAUUAUAAUACAAAUCCUUAGAUUGCAAUGUCAUGCAAAUACACAUUUAAAAAUAAUAAAAUAUUUUCAGUAAUUAAAAUAAUUUAAUUGGACUAAAAAGUAAUAAGGGGUUUAAACUUAAAAUUUAUUCAAUAAAUGAUGUUAUUUGCACUCUUUAAAAUUUAGAAAACUGCAUUACCCAAUGAGUGAGAAAUAGGGUUUGAAUUGAAGAGUUGUUUUUUAUGCCCUCAAAGGGGCAUUAUCAACUUCUUUCACACAGAUCUUGUCAAGUGAAACAAAUCUCAAAUUUAUAGUUCUAAUAAAUAUUACAAUCAAACUCCAAUUUCCUUAGAUUUUUUUGGCAAGGAAUAUAUUAAAAUAUUUUAUAUUAAAAAAAAUUCUUUUAAUAUAAAUUAUGAAAAAUGUAAAAUGACAAAAAGAUUUAAAAAUAUAAAUAUAAAUUUACUAAGUGGAUUUACAUCAAUUGGAUAACAAAGAGUAAAAUUGUUGUAAAUCUUUCUAAUCAACUAAGACAAAUUAAAAUAACAUUGGCCAUUUUCCCUUUAUUCAAAUUAACUCUUGCAUCUAAAAUUGUAACGUAUAUUUUAUUUUAUUACAACUUUUUUUUAUCUCUUUUUCUCCCUUCAUUUUCUACUUCCUCUCUUUGAUAUCUUGAUCUCUUUAAUCUCUUACAUAUAGGGGUUUUAAAACUAAUCAAAUUCGAAAACCAACAAAAUAAUCGAUAGAAAGCCAAAAAUUGAUUAAACUUAUAUAUUUUUAUUUUUUUUGGAUCUAUUUUUCUUAAUCAAUGAUUUGGUUAAAAAAAAUUAAGAAUCAAACCAAAAUAUAUACUGUAUUUAAAUGUAAUUUUAUAUAUUUAAAAUUAAUUAACAAGUAUCUCUUGAAAAAUAUUUUACAGUUUAAUAUUUAUAAGAUAUUUAUAUUACCAAAAUAUGAUAUUAAAUAUAAGAUUUGUUUUUUUAAACUAUUUGUCCUAAUUGAUUGCAAGAGAAAGCAACAAAAUUGAUGAACAAAAAUAUAGAGUAUAUGAAUAGAAGCUGCAAAAAGACCAAAUCUCCAUAUUUGGUUGUUGUUCAACACCGUCAUCGCCAUUGACGAGUUUAAGGACCUUGAAACAAUCUAUUCUCCAUAUGAAUAGAUUGAUUUUUUUCAUAGCCAACUUAUUUCAAUUUCUUUGUAAAAUUAUCAAAUAAUUAAUUCUAACAAAAUAAUUCUCAAAAGCACAACUAAUGGUUGAAAAUUUUCAAAAUUCUUGUUCUUUUUGCAACUUUUCACAACUCUUAAACUUCUCCAACUUUUCCUUGGAAUUAAACACAAACUUUUUACAAUGUUUGAUAAACCUUCUAAUAAUCUUAUAGUUCAUAAAUUCCUUUCAAAUGAUACUAAAACACAAUCUUCACAAUUUUCUACUUAAUUGGGCUAGAAAAUAUCACACAACAAAGGGUAAAAUUUAUACAAAUAAAAAUAAAAUUUACCUUUUAGUUAAAUAUACUCAUCUUAUUUGUUUUUUACUUAAUGUCUCAUUUAAUCCAUUUGUCGAUAGGACAUUAAAUCAAGUGAAAUUCUAAUGGUAAAUAAAUUUUGUUGUUUAGAGGUUCAAGGAUCAUAGCAAGAAAGUUGUUGAUUUGAAGAAAAAUAGUUGCAUAGAGGACAAUAUAAUUAUUAUCAUUUAGAAGGAAGAAAAUAAUUCUAAAUUUACUUUGGAACAUGAAUGGUGACUAUAAAAAAUAUAAUAAAUGAUUUUAUCAAUAAAAAAAUCACUUAAAAAAGAAUAAAUAUUUCUAUUAACGAUGAAUAUUUUUAACUGAUACAAAGACAUCAACUUAGAUUUUAGAAAGUGACACCAUUAUGAAUCACAAUUUUAACCAGCAUUUGACUUGAAAAACAUGGAAGCUCUAAUCAGGAAAAAAAUUUGUGAACAAAAGAAAUCUAGCUACAAGAGAUAAAAAAAAACUUAAUGUCAUUGUAUGAAAUUAUGAUGAAAGGCACAUAAUAAAUGUGUGAAGAUCAAGCAACAAUAAACAUGAAGUAUGUGUAAUUACAUUAUAUACAACUUUAAUAUGUAAUUUUAUUAUAUGCAAAUUUAGUUGAUAUUUAUUAUGUUUUAAGUUGGUUGUAGUAGUCAAUGUUAGAGCAGUUAUUGCAAAUCUUAAUGUUGUAAAAAUAACAAUGGUAAAACUAAUUGUUGGUUCUAACGUUUUAAUUCCAAAAGACAUACACAUUUCUACAUUUUAUCCCCCAUUUACUUGUCAAAUGGAUUUAUUGGAAUAUAAUUUCUCAAGAAAUACUUGAAGACAACACUUGAGAAAUUUUUUUUCUUUUGACAUACUUUUUGCUAUAAAUUAUGAAGAUGAACACACUCACUUCAUUAUUAUUUCUUUCUAAAAAAAAUUAGAUGCUCUCAAUAAUCACAAUUCAUAUUUUUUAAUGAGAUUUGAUGCAAUUGGUAGGAGAGGUUUAUAUUUACUACCAAAAUGCACUACAUUAAUUCGCAUGUUAUCAUAUAUAUUACCUAUUGAUAACUUCGAUGAAUAUGUUUGAAUUGAUGAAUUGAUUCUAACUUGAUGCUUAAAGCUUUUGAAAAAUGGUGUGAAAAAAAUAUUUUGGAAUAAGUACUCAAGAAGGCCAAAAGAUAACAACAUCAAUUAUCUAAAACAAAUUAGAUAGGAUUGUAGGUCUCGAAGCAUAUUGAGCUCAAUGAAUUCUACGUAUUAAGAAUGAAAUUUUCUUUUUCCAAUUGCAUGACAUAUCGAUAAAUGUGAUUAUCCCAAAUCUAAAGUUCACGUUUCAAAAAACUUUUGAAUUUAGGUUCAAUGUGUUAAAUCUAUUAUAUGCAUUUAAUGACAGUUAGCAAAAUUCAACUUCUUCUAUGCAAUUCAUAAUAUAUGAAACCUCAUAUAAUGUUAGGACAUUAUUUAAAGAAUUGUAUUUAUACUGAUUGAGGACAUUUGUCAAGACCAUCUCAAUGUCAUCAAUAAAAAAAGAGAAAUUAUUUAUGGAAUAUCAUGAAAAGACAAAAAAAAUAUUAAAAAAAAUAAAAAUAAAUAAAUAUAUAUAUAUAUAUAUUAUAUGCUAAAAUAUUAAUGUGUACUUAUAUGUGAUGUAUGCAUAAUGACACAUAGAUAGAUAUGAUGAAUAAUCAUGUUACAUUGACAAGUAUCAUCAUUAAAGAUAAAAAAGAUAUAUAUUAAUAAUUUUAAUAUUUUAUAAUAAUAUUAUGUAUCAUGUUAUGUUCCAUUGACUUGUUAUUAUGUAUUGUAUGUAUUAGGUUGAAUAUCAUAAUUCUUAAAGAUAAAAGAAAUAUAUUGAUAAUUUUAAUGUUUUAUAAUAAUAUUAGUAAAGAAGGGAAGAGAUUUCACCUAUUCACAUAUUUAAAAGGUAAUCCUACAAACUUUGGUGAUUCUACAACCUUCACUAAAUACCACUUUUGUCAACAACUUCAAACAAAUUCGGUAGUAAUCAAAAUAACUAAUUUCUUUUUAUUUUUCAACUAAUGAUACGAAUUAAUGUUUGUGAUUAAAACAAAAAAAAAACAUUGAUAUUUUAAAUGUUAAUAAUUAAAUUUAAUCAGUGGAUAUGUAAAAGUAAUUUUUAAGUAAAGAUUAGAUUGUAGAUUCUUCAUUGGACUUACAAAAUGAAGAUCUCUCUCCCCAUGUUUUUAAAGAAUUAAAGGAAUGAAUUAAUCAAAUUUAACCUGAUAGUGUGAACAUGAUUAUAUGAUUAUGUAAUCACAUCAUUGUAUUUUGGUUUUAGUUAACCCUUUCUUGGUUUUCAUUUUGAAUUUGUUAUCUGAAAACCCCAUCCCAGUUCAGAUCUCUCCCAUAUCUUCAUCAUGUGUUCAACUGCAUAAUUUCUCUCUUCACAGUUCACACCACCCAACCUAAUCAAUUUCUUCUACAAUCCACCCAAUUUAUUGGUGCAGUAAAGAGAUAAACACCAUAAAUAACCCAAAACCAUAAUAUAUUUAAAUAAAUUAACAACAACAAAUAACACCUCAUCAAAGUUUUACAACUGUAAAUGCUCAAUAUUCCCAUUACCCAACCCACCUUUUCCAACCCAUGCCCAUCACAGAUCCAAUCUCCACCUCUGUUACGCUCCUCAUCAAACUUUUCUAUUUCCCGAUUUACCCCUCCACAGUGCCAACAUUCCGAAUAUCUCCCCACAUUGCUAAAUUCCCAAUUUACCCCAUCUUCACUUUCACUUCUUCUUGUUGAUGCCCAUGAUUCUUCGUUUAGCUCAACUUCCCUCACCGCUACCCAACCCUGUGUUUCCCAAUUCACCCUCGAUACUGUUGCUAAUUUACUAAUUCUAUUUCUAACUGAAUUUUCCUCGCGGUUAAAUUCUAACCACCCUCUUUCUUGUUCGCGGUCGUUAUAUUCUGAUUCCGCGAACUCCGACUCAACCCAGUCCAGAACGCAACGUGGCGAAGAUUCAACUACGGCGUAGGGAACCAAAAAUGGAUGCUGCAGUAGCUGAUCGCAGCUCCACCGUUCACUCCAAUUUCUUCUCAGACACUUCUCGAGAAAAUCUUUUCCCACCUCCGACAGUUUGCUAGGAAACUCCGGCAACUCGUCCGAGUAACCGAUUCGACUCAGCGUGUCGACGCCGCGAUCCUCCCACGCCGGUUUCCCGUUGACAAUCUCGAUCACCGUGCAACCGAGCGACCACACGUCGGACUCCCGCCCCUGCCGCUCCCGGCGCACGACCUCCGGCGCCAUCCACAUCGGACUCCCGCGGGGCAACAACUCCGGCGAGGCUCCGACUUCCACCGCCGCGCCGAAGUCGGCGAGUUUCGCGGCGGCGCGGUUGCCGGAGAGGAGCACGUUCCUCCCCUUAACGUCGCAGUGCACGAAGCCGCGGGCGUGGACGUCACGCAGGGCGCUCACGAGGCACCACGCGUAGCGCCUCACUGAACGCUCGUCCAAGUCAGCGCGGUCCAAAUCAGCGACGGUGCCACCUGGCAUGUACUCCAAAUGAAGGUUCCUAAACGACGCCGUUCCGCCGAGCUCGCACGUGACGUCGUCGCCAAGAUAAGCGACGACGUGCGGCGACGCCACGUUCUUCAGAAUCCGAAUCUCGUUCUCCAACGCCUCCAGCUGGCGAGGGAGCCCCGCUCCACGAUCCACGGACUUCACCGCGAAAACGCGACCAUCAGCUUUGGAAACCGCGGCGUUGACAACGCCAAACGCGCCCUUCCCGAGGCACUUGCCUCUCACCCACGAAGUCAUAACUAAAUUUUCUUCUUUGCGUUCAGUUGGAAGUGUAAAGUGUGGUAAUUGACAUUUGGGUGUGAGUUCCCUGUGGGGGUAUAUAUAAGCAACGAAGUGGGUAGUGAGGUGGUGUUUGGAUGUUUGUUAGUUCUAAUAACAUAACAUAACAUUCGGUGUUGGUUUGGUUGUACAGCGUGGCAUUUAUGAAAGUGGAUAAUUAAGAAAAAGCGGUGGUGACGUUGAGAUGGACAUCUGAAAGGUUUGGGCGGUAAUGUUUUUGAUUGUGGGAAUGAAGCACUGGACACUGUUCUUUUCUUAUUCUGAUGGAUUGGUUUUUUAAUCCUUAUCCACACCACUUCAUCAUUCAUUUUCUUUUCCACUUGUCACUCUAACUCCCCCUUUUUACUUUCUUUAUCUGUUCAAUUUACACAAUAAGCGGUUAUUUGAUGUGAUUUUAUAACUUGGGUGAGAAGAGAAGAGAAGAGAAGAGGUGUUCGGUUUUUGUUAUUAUUAUUAUUAUUACGACAUGGCAGGGUUGAUUUUGUGGUUGUGUUUUGUCGUGUUGCGUGGGAAUAUUAAUUGGAACAUGUGGUUGUGGAGGGGAAGGGAAGGGUUUCUGGUUGAGAAGUAGAUGUUAAUAGUUGGCAAAGGGGAACAGAACAGAACAUAACAUAACACGGUGGUGGUGGUGGUAAAAUGGAAGUGGAUGGAGGAGCCCCCACGUGGCGCAAAUGUGUUGGUCCACGGAGUUGUGGAGACAACGCUAGAGACUCGUAAAGAAAAUGAAUUGGGAAAUGUCUGGAUGGAGAUGCCAUGAAUGAUGCUUGUGUGUGGCUUUAGUCUCUGCAAGGUUUAGUUUAACCACAACACUGUGACGUGCACCAUCCCAAUUCCAUUCGAUUUUUUUUUAUUUGUUUAUUCGCAUUUUUAUUUGGAUGUGCAGUUUUGGAAAUUUUGUUUGCAUGUGAAGAGUUUGGACUUUGGUAAGGUCCCCAAAACUCUGAUACUAUCUCUCAGAAGAUGUUUGUGGGGUGUUCUUUCUUUUGUAGAGAAAUUGAUGGAAAAAUUGGGCACGCGGUUCCUUAUUAAGUAUGUGGCACCUGGUGUCAUCAUAUACUUCAUUUCUCAUCAUACAAUAUCUCAGUUUUUGGUUUGCCUAAUUCAGCCUAAAUUAUAGAGAGAAAACCCACCAAAACCCUACUCAAUAUCAAUGCAAUACUUCACCUUAAACAGCAAAAUCAGUGCUCUAUUCCCCAACUUUUAUUAGAUGCAAAAAAUUAGAAUAAGAUGUGGUUAGAGGUGUUUGUGGCGCGCCACUUGUGAGCGCGUAAUUGCUUGGGAGGGGCUUAGAAAUUAGUUGAACUUGACCGAAUGAGGUUUUAAAAUUGGAGAAAACGUUACGGAAAGGAAAUGAAUGUAGAAUUUGAUUGUCCACGUAAACAUGACUUUUGUCAUUGAAAAAAUAAAUAGUUUGAAAGGGAAACUAGGGAUUGAAUUUCAACAUCCAUUCCUUGAUUAUUUUAGAACCCUUUUAAAGUAGCUACUAGAAUUCUAGAACCUUGCCAUUUGGCUUGUGAAUGGGUCCAUGAAUAUGUGGCAAGAUUGGGAGGAAGGAAAAAGUGACGCGUAGGAACAUAGUUUCUUAGGAGUUUCAAUUUAGAUCCUUUGACACGAAGACACGAAGAAGAAGAAGAAGAAAAAGAGUGAAAUAUAUAAAUAAUAUAAUAAUAAUAAUAGUGUGGUUACUGGGUGAAGUACUUGGUUUGGAUAAGGUGGUGGUUAUGAGGAUUAAGCAACGUGGUUCAUGACUUGAGUAGCAUAUUGCCUCAACGCUUCAUCUACUUAUGUGACACGGUGUGUGCUGUCCACAUCUUUUCAAAACUACAUUCACCAAUACCAACUAUAUUGCAAUUCUUCCAUUUCGGAUUCAAAUAUUUAUAAGGAUUUUAGCUAAUAGAUAUGUUUCUCAACUUACAAUAUAAAAAAUCUUUCUUAUUUGGACUUGUAUUUAUUCUCUUUUUUCAACUUUUAUUUCAUCAUUAUUCUAUAUUUCACGUAUCUAGUCAAUUAUCUUCAUUAACGUUCUCACUUCUUUAAGAUGAGAUAAAUAAAUGAGAUCAUUUUUAUUAACUUUAUAGAUCGACAUUCAAACUGUUUCCUUCUGUUAACGAGAUCGACCCUUAAUCUUACAAUAACAUAAAUCAUUAUACCUCUUACACUACAAGAAAAAUCAUGAAAUAGAAACCAAUUUUUAGAGACCAGAAUAAUUAGUUACAAUGUGAACUAAAAUACAGACCAUUUUAGAAACUAAAAGAAAUGGUUUCUAAAUUAAUUUCUAUUAUUGUUAAAUAGUUUCUAAAUUGGUAUCUAAUUAGCAAUUAAGGUUUUAACUACCAAUUAUUUAGUUUCUAAAUUUGGUAGCAAAAACCUUGGUUGUUAAUUAAAUAUCAAUUUAGAAACUAUUUAACAAUAAUAAAAAAUAAUAUAAACUAAUUUAAAAAUCAAAUUUCUUUUUAGUUUCUAAAAUGGUCUCUAAUUUAGUUACUAUUGCAACUAAUUAUUUUGUUUUCUACAAAUUGGUUCCUGUGUCAUGAUUUUCUUGUAGUAUUAAUAAUAAAAUCAAUUUUGUUUCAAUCAAAUUCAAAAAAAAUUUAAUUAACUUGAAUUUGUAUGAUUUAAGUAUAACACUUCAAAAUCAAACAAAAGUUUAAUGAUUGCAAAAAGUAUAUGCAAAAGUAAGUUCAAUGUAGAAUUAAGUCUUGUCAACUACAAGAACAUUGGAUUCAUGGAUAACUUUUUAAAAGGAAAAUAUGUUUUUUUUUUCUAAAAAAAAGUUUAAUUUUAGUUUUAAAAAAGUUAUUCGUUUUUCCUUUUGCUAACUUUGAAAAACAACACUUUUGGCCUUUAAAAUGAUUUAACAGCUACAAACCAAAAUUGUUAUAAACAAGUAAUUUUUUGAAGGUAACUUCUAAGGUGAUAUUAGUUUGUGUGGUGUAUGAUGAGCGACAGUUUUGAGCUUAUGCAAGAGAAUGUGAAAAAUUGGUGGUGAAAAUGGAAGAGAAGAGAACAUUUUGGUAACGUUAGCUGAGGCAUUUGCUUUAUGCGUCCACUAUGAGUCAAAUUGAAACUAAAAACAAAGCAUUGAAUCCUUUUUUCCUUUUUCCUUUUUUGAUGUUUAAAAGGAGGAGAUAAAAGACAAUUAAUAAUCAGAAGCAAAGACGUGUAAUGCAUAUUGCUUAUCUACAAAGGAUCAGAAACCCCAAUAUGGUGCUUUCUAGCAUUGGCAUGAAAAAUACUAGUUCUAAAUUUUUGACUUCAAAAUUCAGAUAUGCAUAAAAAAUGGGUUUGUUGCAAAUUGCAAUGGGGCGGAAGUUUGUCUGGAAAGAGAGGGACAAAAGAGAGGUCAUUCAUGGUUUAUGAUGAACCCAUCUUCUGCAAAUGCAAACAAAACAUUCCAUAUUUUCUGCUCACCAUGCAAACAUCACGUUAAUCAUUCCCUUUUUUUUCUAUCUCUCUUAUUUAAACACUUAAAUUACACCCACGCAAAUUAUGAUUUAUUUUUUUUAUUAUUUUGUUUGUGUCAACUUCGUCGAUGUAUACUGACUUUUUUUUUGUGUUGAUUUGAUCGACAAUUUUUCAUCUUCAUUUACAUUAUCAGGUUGACGAUAUUCACAUUUGUCUCACGUCGGCUUGAUCUACACCAUUUAUGUUAUUUUCGUUGACUGACACAAAUUAAUUUUGUUUCCACAUUUUUCUCGUCGACUUUUGGUUGACGCAUAGUCAACAUUUAUUCAUCGGUUUUCUUUUAUUUGCAUCCAUUUUUUUAUCGAAGUAAAAUAUUUUUUUUUUAGUAUGAUCGGUAUUUCAUAACAUAAAAAAAGGUUUUCAUAUGAUAAACAAAUAAAAUAUCUUAAAUAUCAUUAGAGUUUUUCUUGAAUAUGGAAUUUUACUUUUAUCACUAAUAGAAAAUCAUUAAAUAAAAACUAAUUUUAAAAAUAAAGAAUAAUUAGUUAAUAUAUUGAUUAAAUUAUAUAUUAUUUUAUAAACUAAAAAGUUAUUGGUAUAUAAAGUAAUUUAUAUUAUUAAUAAAAUUUAUAAAUUAAUUUUUAUUUGAUAUUUAAUUAAUUACAAAGAUUUUAGUUAUCAACUACUUUCGAUUCUAAAAUUGGUAACUAAAAUCUUGAAUUUAGUUUUAAUAAUUUUCUUGUAAUGUAUAAUUUGUAUUGUAUUGCAUAAAACAUCAUCCAUGUACAUUUUGAUAUAGUAAGUAAGUUUUUUUUUUCUUUUUUAGAGAGUUAUUAUUUUGAGGUGAUUUUUUUUCUCUUAAUAAAGCAUUGUAGUUUCCUAACUUUUUUGGGUUCAAAUAUUUUAGAUUAACCUUCUUAUAGAUAAUUGAAAAUUUUGACUAAGAUUUGCUUAGCUAUGUCAUGCCUAGCAUAAUGAACCUUCUAGCAUUGGUAUUUUCAUAUCACUCAUAUACCUACUCUUCUUUAGUCUAAAAUUGCUCCACGUUUUAUCAUGUAUCUUAAUAUGCGUCACAUUAGUUAGAAAUACUAUUAAAAAAUUUGUUUAUAAGAUUUGGGUGAUCUUUUUCUUAGAUUAGUAUAUUGAUUGAGAUAGGGUAUAGUAUUAAAAUAUGCCUUGUCUUGUAUAAGAGGAACACAUUGUUAGCAUAUGUACACUCUUGUGGUAUCCACUAUUCUUUCAGAGUUAGUACUCUUAAUUUCACAUUUUUCUCUAAUUAUAAUAUAAAAAAAAUAGGGAUCUUAUGAUUUUUUUUUAUUUUAAAUUGAUCUUAGAAACAGUUAGAUAAUGAAGAGAGUAAAGAGUUUUUAAUCGGUUAUAAAAGGAUCAAUGUAAAAAAUGUCCUUUUCAAUAUUGAUUUUACAAAAGCUAAAAUGAACCAUAUAUGAGAGAUGAAUUAGAUCUAGAACAAUGAUUAUUUAUAAAUUUGAUUUUUAUUUAACGAUUAUUAGAUUGAACAAUGUAAAAUAUUAUAUUUAUACAAGUGAAAAUGCAUUCAUCAAGAUUUUAAUUAAUGAAUUAAAUCAAAUUUGAUAAUGACUCUUGUUUUUAAGACGGAUAUGCCCUCUAAACAAAACACUAAUAUGGUCCAAAGUAAAUUUGAUAUAGAAUAAAAUUACGAAGACUAAUGCGUAAUUUAGACAAAAAAAAUGGAAAAGUAGGCUGAUUUUGAAAUGCAAAAAUGUCUAUAAUAAAAACAAAUUUCAAUAAUUUGACAUUACAUAAAGCAGCAAAAAGUAAAGUGGUGAACAUUUAAAGUUAAAAUAAAUUUAAAAUGUAAAAAUUAUUUGAAGUAUAAGAACAAGCAAGUAGGAGAAAGAAAAAUAUGCAAUCAGAAUUUCGCGAAUCAGGUUUAAUUUAAUCUUUGAAAAUAGAAUCACUAUUAAAAUAUUUUUAAAAGUAAAAAAUCAUCUUAAUUAGUUUUAUGGUUAAAUUCAAUAUGUUAAAGCUAGCACUUCUAUUAUAUAAUAUAUAUUGUUUAUUUAGGUGAUGAUUAACAUUUUUAAAAGAUUUAUUCCCAACCAUAUAAGAGAUAUAUUUAUAUAUUUGUAUCUAUUUUAAACUAGCUAAACCAUUUAAUCAAUAUAUUUUUAUCCACUUUAUAAUACAAUGGACCAAAACUUGCAUAUGAUAUAAUACUGGAUCAUUUUAUAAUUACAAUAUAAAUUUUUAUCAUGUUUUGAUAAUUAUAAUUGCAUGGUACUUAUACAGUAUAAUUAAAUUGUAAAAUAAUCUUUAAGAGAUACAUUGGUACAUGUUUCUUAAUUAUUUAUUAACUCUAUUUCAUAUAAUAUUACAUUUAAAUACAAUAAUAUUACAUUUAAAAAUAUUGAGUUUUGAUUGAUUUUUUUAUUGGUUCCGUUUAUUAAUCAAUUUUUUUACAUUGUUGGACUUGUUGCUAAAACCCAUGUCAUAACUUGGGUCCAGCUAGCUUCACCAUGUUCAAGCUAAUGCUUCUCAUUCAAUUUUGUUAAGAAAGUAAACUAAUAAAAAUACUAAAAUACUCAUUAAAUCAUUGUAUCAAACUUUCAUCUGUUUUAUAUAAACUUUAAUAUUUUAUUUUAACAAAGGCUAUUUAUAAAGUUAUAGUUGGUUAUUUUAAGUUAUAUUUUAUCCUUUUUGAGUUAUAUGAAUAUGAUGGGUUAAAUGGUACAUUUUGUUAUCUCUACGUAAAAACAACAGGUUUGUAUUUAAAUUUCAGAACUCAAUCGUUAUUAAUUCAUGCAAUGAAUCGAGUGUAUUCAUUGAAUUGGAUUCAUUUUUAUACCUUUAAAUGUGAUUAAGAUAAAUAAAAUAAAUUCAAAUUUAAUCUUAGAAGUGUUUUAUGAAAUUAGAAAUACCUUAGAUCAAAAAGUGAUAAAAUAUUCAUUUAUUUAAUGACUUAACAUUAUAUUUCCAUUUCAUGUGAUAUUUAAUUAUUUUAUCAAGGAGUUGAUGUGUUGAAACAUGACCUAAGAAACAAGAUAUUCCAAUAAACUACACCUCAAAUUUAACCUAUCAUUUUGAAAGAAAAUUACAAUGAAAUAAUGAAUAUUUUUCAUAUAUUUGUGUGUAUUAUACAUGAAAGACAUUUUAUCUUCAAUAUGUUUUUGUGAGGAUUGGUACUUUUUGAAGUAUAUAAAUAGGAAUUAGGAGUCAUAUCCUUCCAAAUUCGUUUAAAGUAGUAUUACGUACGCAUUGUUUGUAUACAGGUGAUUAUUGUUCAUCCAAAAAGAAAAACAAAUAGUUUUCCUAUUUGAAUCUUCUAAUUAGGGAAGAGUGGUUGGCAUAGAAAGACAAAGAAAUAUGUUUUAGGCUUUUUGGGUGAAGAGAUACAUUCAAUCAAAGAUUGCUUUUACCAUCUUAACCUUUACUUUUUCACUCAAGUACACAAACAAAAUCAUAAAUUAGAUAUUCUUAUACUCAAUUUUUUGGAGAAUGGAUAUUUGAGUAUACCAUAAUCGGUUUUACAUAUUUAAUGUGAGGGAUAAUCAACAUGUAAAAUCGAUUAUCCUUAUAUUUUUAAAUAAUUAUUUAUUUAUUUUUUUAUUUUAUUUUGAUGUAUGUAAUUUUGUGAUUUGAUUUAUGUAUAUAUGUAAUGUUUUUAUUUAUUUAUUGAGUGAAUAAUUAUUUAAUUUGUUUUUAUUUUUAUUUUUAUUUUGAUGUACGUAUAUAAAAUAUAUAGUGAUAAUUAAAUAGAGUUAAUUAUCAAAUUAAAAUUUGUUCAUAUUUAACUUGUAAAAUUGAUUUUCAUAAAUAUAAUAUAAAUAAGGAUAUUAUUGAAAAAAGUUUAUAAAUAUUAUUUUGAAUUUAUAAAAUAAUUAUAAGUAUAAAGAAUAUUUAAAUAUUUAAAAAUACUACUUUACUGAUACUUUACAUAUAAUAUUUAAUUUUAAAAAAUCAAGUAAAAAAACUUUAUAAAUAUUAUUUUGAAUUUAAAAAUAAUUAUAAGUAUAAACAAUAUUUAAAAAUUUAAAAAUAUUAUGUUUUCAGAUAAUAUUUGGAAAAUACUACUUUACAUAUAAUAUUAAAUUUUAAAAAAAUAAAGUAAAAAUCUACUCCAUCAUAGUAUGAAAAAAUAAUUGCUCCAACACAAAAAAUAAUCUUUUAAUUACAUAAACUAUAAUUUCAUAAAUAAAUAAUCCACAAUUACAAUUUUUUUUCUAAAUAAGAUUUUUGAAACAUGAUUCAAAAAAUUUUUUUUUUUUCGAAAUUAACUCUAACAGAGUACCGGAAAUAUUGUUUCAAUAUCGAAAAUAAUAUUUUAAUUUAAAACAAUUAUAAUUCAUAAAUAAUCAAAUCAAAAUAAUUUUUCUAUAAUUUUUAAAUACAGGGACAAAUGUGUAAACUUACAUUUUUAUCAAUUAAAAAAAUAUAAUUUUAAUCACACCAUCCCUUACAACUUUCAUAAAAAAAUUUGCUACAUUUUCUCUUUAUUUACCUUAAUUAAAACAAUCUUAUUUUUUUCACACUUUUCUUUUAAAUCAUCUUAAAUUUACUCUCACAAAUUCACUACCUAAUCCAAAUAAUCCAAUCAAAACCAAGAAAAAUUGAUAGAUUUUGAAUUUAUAGAAGGAGAAGAGAUAAAUAAUUGACAUAAGUACUAUACAGAAAUAAGAAGCAACAUGUAAAUUAAGUUGGAAUGGUAAGAUAUCAUUACUCAUUAAUGUAACUUGACUUUAUUAAACUGUUUUCUUACAAUAAUACUUUUACUCUCUCUGGUUUCUGCUCUGAGAUUUAAUUAAACACUCACAAAAUUACUUAUAUAUAUAUCCUAAUCAUUGCUUCAGUUCUCUCUCACAGGCUUAACAGGGGAAGGCUUUUCUUCAGACUUCACCCAAAAUCUUGUUAUGAACGCAAGUUAUAUUCCAACAUGAACAUCAAGUUUUUACACGGUUGAAUGGGUCACCUUCAUAUAUUAGACUCAUAUGUGCUUCAUUUCACACUAGUUCAUAUUCCUAAUAUUUUUUCUUCAUUUUACUUUCGCAAACAUCUACCUACAUAUAUAGUAUAAUGAGUCUGCAACACCUAGUUGCUUGCAGUGGUUCAUUCAUAAAAAAAAAAAAAACUUAGUAAUCAUUUUUCUUACCAUCUUCUUAUAUACCAUUUUCUUAUAAAUAAAUGAUACACCAUGAGCAUUAUAAUAAAGCAGGUUCUUCCAAAACUACUAAUAAUAAUCCAAAUAAAACACAACGUGCAUGUUUCACAACAAUUAAUAUAUGAUCAUAAGAUGACUGAUUCUCCUCUGAAACAAUCAAAAUGAUGAAAGGGUUUAGUAUUCGCCGUAUGACAGGGGAUACAUACAUGCACAGUGUUGGUUGGUGUUGGACUUUGGGGUUUGGUUGCAUGCACAUUCCCCUUUUCUCAAACCAUUCUGACAUCUCUAAUAUACGAGGAUCAUCGAACAAAAGGUCAUUUGUUUUGUUUGGACUUGGAGAGUGCCCAAGAUAACAGACACAACACUUCACAAACAAACACGUUGUUGUGCCUUCCGCGAAGGAUCCCCCCAACAACAACGUGUCAUGUGCUGUGCAUGUAAGUCAAUCUCAAGUCAAGCCACAAUAAAUUUCUUAUUGUCACCAUCAUCUCUUCAUUAUUGUCAACAUCCCCAUAUUAAUGUGACUCGAUUCUCCUAUUAUUUUUUAUGUUGUAUGCUUGUAAUAGAAAAACACUUAGCCAUUGCUGUUACAUUACAUCAGCUGUCGUUUUUUUUUUCAAUUCGGUGGUCGGCACAACGCGUGGUCAGUGGUCGCAAUGGACAAGAAACUUGGUCGGUCCACUUCUGCUAACGGUGCUGCUUGUAAGUUGUUACAGAUUAAUAAUAACGUUCACAUUAGUUUUCACGAGAAAUUUAUAUAAAAUAAUUUAAUUUUUCUUAUGCUAAAUUAAUUAAGCAACCAAACCAAGCAACCACCGUCCCAAGCUUUUUUACGGAGUCAAACAUUUGAGAAACGAAAAACAAUCUAGGAAAUUGGUGAACAAAACUCUUACUUCAAGUUCGAGAUAUGUAAUAGGGUCGAUCACCGUAUUUAGAGUAUUAUUUGUUUUUUACGAACCCGAGAGAUAGAUUGUUAGAUCAAUUAUUACAUCUAAAAUAUUAUUUGUUUUAAAUAUCAGUGUUCUGUCACGAUUUUGUUAUUAAAAUAUGUCUCAACAUGUUUGAGAAAGAAAGAGUAUAUAAACUAUAUUGAUGGUAUUAUAAAAAAAAAAUUGAAAGAAUAACGGUUCUGGUAAAGAAAACCCUUAUAACAAAAGUGUGUUACUUCCUGAGUGUUUUUUUUUUCAAUUUUAAGGGGUUUUUAAACAGUUAAUAAACUACUCACGAGUCAAGGUCCAAAAAGUAUUAGAAAAUUAAUCUAACGUGUAGUGAUAAGAAAAGUGAACAGGGUUUAAUAACAAUCAUGCUUUUCACAUGAAUCAAGAGUCUGUUUUAUGAAUAAAAUAAUAGAACAGUGAAGGUCUUUCCGUGACUCAAGUAUGAGCUUAUUAAAGUAUCUGUAUGCAGAAGUAAGCCUUUUCAUUAACUAAUUGGACACAGUAUGGAAAGAAAUCUGUAUAAUACAAAGCACACGAUUCAUGAACAUCUACCUAACUCAAUUUUACCUUAUUAACUUCACAAAUGAAAUAAAAUAGUUUGCAUGAAUCUCAACAUAACGAUAGCAGUUGUAAAUGGAAUCAUAUUCACGUUUUGGAAGCAACAUUGGUAACAAAUUAAGGCCCAAAACUAUUGAUAGGAAUAACUCUCAAAUGCUGAAAAACUCUCAAAUUCGCAAGUCAGAAGCUCACUAUUCAACAUCUAACUAGAUUAGGCUGACAAAGUCAUAGAAAGAAGACUAAUUUGGCCACCUAAUAAAUUAUAAGACAGGUUCAUUGAUUGAAUCAUUCCACAAUUUGCAUUCAUGUGAUCAUCGCAAAUUUAGUUUAAUAAAUGAAUUGCCAAAACAAUAAUGAUAAUAAUAAUGUAUGGUUAUUACAUUAAUCAUUCUAUGGUAAAAAAAAUUACUAAAUGUUGUUGUUAAUAUCCCUCCCUAUUCAGGUACAAAAAAUUUCAAUAAUGUCGUCAGAUUUAUAUGUACAGAAAAAAAUUGGUUACUCUAUCAGGCACCUCCUCCAACCUCAAUGGGUAAAAAACCUGAUGCACUACCUCCUUCUUCUGUUGCACAAACGAAACUCUAAACAUAGUGUUCUAAUUUGAUUAGCAUAACGCUUGUAUCAUCCAUAGAGCCUCGUGAAACAGACAAAUCUACAAGCUUUUUACAAGCCACCAAUGGUUGUGAUUUGUUGUUGCCCACAAGAAAAGAACGAGCAAUGUCCACAGCUUCUUGAUUACUAACCUGAAAGGAUGAGAAAGAUAAACUUGUUCAGUGAGUUAAUCACUCAAUACAUGAGAAACAAAAUUGAACAAUACUUUUCAUGAAGAAACUGUGAACAUAUAUCAAGUUCUAUACCUUAUCCCAUAGUCCAUCUGAAGCUAAGAUUAACAAGUCAUGUUCAGGUUCAAUUCUGAGAACUUUGGUCUCAGGUUCUGCUGUCACCCAUUGUUUCAGGUGUCUAUCUCCAAUUCCCCUAGACACUGCAAGAGAUCCCUGGAUCCUCCAAACUCCGCGGCAUAAAUCCACAUAACCACCCUACAAGAAAAAUUCCCAUACUUAAGAACCAAACAUCCAAAUCCAAAUUCAAACAUUUUGAUGUUCAUAACAGAGAAAUAACUAUCACACUCAGAAGCUUACCAGGUUCUCAAUUCUGUCCCUUUCAUCUUCCCUUGAGGGCCUGUGAUCGGAUGUUAGGGCUUCCGCAACACCCCCUCUGCUAAUGACAGCACGGCAAUCACCGGCGUUGGACACAACAAGGUUGCCGUUCCUGAUCAAUGCUGUCACACAGCAAGAGCCACCAUGGAGAUCCUUCUUCAGGAAAUCUGAGUCUGUGUUGAGGUACCCACGCUUCACUGCCUCCUCAACAUCAUCUUCAUCUCUCACAAUCACCUCAUCUAAGAUAUUCUUUUCUAAGUUAUUUGCAGCAAAUUCCGCAGCCUUUGCACCUCCGUGCCCAUCAAAUAUGCCAAAAAAAGCCUGUCAGGAUCACAAAACAAAAUCUCUGGUUAGAUUUAAUUCCACUCACAUCAAGUAUAAUCAUCAUCAUGAGCAUAUUAAUCAAUCCUCAAUUAACCUCACACUCACUGUAAUUUUUUUCCCUGUGAAAGAACUUCUUAACUUCAAAACAUCAAAUUCUAGGCUUUAUCUCUUUAUUACCUUUACCAAUUUCCAAUAGAAGGAUCAUUAAAAACUGAGUAAGUAAAUCACAAUUCUCCAUUACAAAUUCAUAAAACCAACAAAAACAAAAAGAAAAGCUCUCGGUCAUUCAAAUUCUUUAACAAGUCAAGUCAAUCAGACCCAGACCAAAUUCAGAUAAAAAGUUUCAAACUUUCCACAACCCCAGUUCCUGAAAACACCUCAUAAUCAUAACCAGACGAUCUCGAUCCCAACCCACAUACCCCAGCCCCAAAGCUUCUUUGAAAAAAAGAAAAAUUUCUUACCAGUUUGUGUUGACCGCGUAGAUUAUCCCCAGCGGUGUAACGAUCCUCCAUGUACUCCCUCCUCCCUCUCUUGCAGUAGACCCCAAAGCCAUCCUCCUCCGACUCGACGACGUCACGCGCCGCAGCGGAGGGCGUGGGCGGAACCCCGAAGGUGAGAGAGGAAACGGGUAUGUCGAGCCUGGCGGGUCGCUUCCUCUUCAAAAUGGUGCCGUUGGGGGAGGUGGAGGAGGCAGAGGAGGCAGAGAAGACAGAGGGAGGCUUGGGAAGGCGAAGGCGAAAGGGGGAAGAAGGAGAGGAGGAAGCAGGCGCAGCAGAAGGAGAAGAGCAAGAGGAGGCGGUGUUAGUGUUGGAAGGCUUGAGGUGGGAGAGGGAGAGCGAAAGGGAUUCGGGCGAAGAAGAGAUGAUGGAAGGCUUAGAGCAGAAGAGAGAAGAGGAGGGAGAGAAGACCGGCGAAUUGGAAACCGCGACGGAGCAAGACAUGGCCGUGUUGAGUCAAAAUUCAAACGUUGGAAUUGGUCUUUUGUGUGUGUUUGUGUGUUGUGAUUUUGUUUGGGUUUUGUGUGUUGUUGUUGUUGUUGAUGAUGAGAGAGGUUGAUAAGGGAGGGUGAGAUGUAUAUAUAGGGAAAAGAAUAGAAUGUUGUUUCUGGGUCAGAUUGGAGUCAGUGUGGGACCACCUCUUUUUUGCGUGUUAUUUGCGAGUUAUAUUACACACACAACACAACACAGCUAUCACACUCAAUUUUAAAACGUUCUUUGACCAUCUUCUUUCACUUGUGCAAACUCCAUUUUGCCCCUCCCUUUUUUUCUCCCUCACCUUUUUCUUUUUCUUUUAUGUUCUUGCCUCUCUUCAAAAAAACUCUAAUAGUAAUAGGUCAAGACUCUUCAAAAAAAUAUCAUCAUCAAAAUUCAAAAAUAAAUCAGUAUCUAUUUUUAAAAUGUGUUUUAGUAAUUCAGAAAAAAAUAGUAUUUUGUAAUUUAGAUCAAUCUAUUCAAUUAAAUGAGAAUUGAGAUAAAUUCAUCUAACAAUUUGGUUAUCUCAAAUACUAUCUCUUACAUUACUUUAUUAUAAACUAAAUUAUGUGACAAUAAUCAUUAAUUUAUAUAUUGAUCCUAUUUUGUUAUAAAUAGAGACACCUUAACUUCUUCUUCAUACCUUAUAGUUACUUCUGAUUAAUAUUUUAUUUUUUAUUUUUUUAUUUUCAUUCACAAUAAAAGAAACAUCAACCAAAGUAAAUAAUUUCACUUCAAGAAAAAUUCCAUUUUUUUUGUUUAAAUUUGAAUUAGAUUAUAUUGAUAUUGUAAAACUUUAUUCCAUAAAUUAUUAAAUACAUGUACGAAUUUUUACAUUGAUAAUAUAUACCAACUAAUUUACUUUAUUUGUUGAGAAACAAGGCGUAAUUUUAAGUAAAAUAAGUGCGUAAUUUUUUUUUUCACAACUAAUGACGGGAUUUUGCAAAUAAUUAUAGAAUUGGGUUGAAUUGAGUUAAAUUUUUUUUUAUAUGAAGUGCUAAAGUUCAAAUAUAGUGGAAAAAAUAUAAUCAAGGGAAUUUUUUUUAUUAAAGUGAGACUAGUAAUAAGGUGGUUAAAUAUUUUGUAUAAGUAAUAAUAUAAUGAUAAAGGAAAAUGAAAGUAUUGAAAUUUAAGAUUUUUUAAAGUUAUUUAAAUUAACUUUUUCUUGAUAUUUAUUGUAUGCAUUCAACAAAGGAAAAGGUAAAUAGAACAAAAGUCUAAUUUGAAUGUUGACUUUAAGGUGUGUGUAUUGAAGACAUUUUAUCUUUAAGCAAAGAAAAAAAAAGGGUAGGAAUGUAAUUUGGAGAAGUGGAAGUGGGGUGAACUAGGCAAGUAAAAGGUGGAUUCAAAGAAUAAAAAUGAAUUAAAAAAAAAAUUGUAAUAGGAAUGUUGAAAGAGUGUGUUUUGUUUUGAUUUGAGGUUUGACUUAACCACUGUUACAACACUGUUUCUAACCCUAAUCUCCUUCAUUCUCUUUCUUCAUUGCAUCAUUCAUUAGGCUUUGUUUGGGGGUGUGGGGCCAGAGAGAGAAGCACGUUCGAAGAAGUUACCGUUGGAGAGAGGACACCACAGAAACAGAAUCAGAAACAGACACCAUUUAUUAUUGUUGUUAUUUGCUUCUUUGGCUUCAUGACCGUUGUCAUCUUCAUCACUUCUCAACCAACUCAUUUCCCAACGUUAACAAGUUUUCUUCACACAGUUUUCUUAAAACGUUUCUUAAGCUUCCAAUGGUUGGAACUCCAACAUGCAACGUUUUUGUUCUUUUUUUAAGAAUUCAACUUGCAUUUAAUACUAAUUAUCUCUUAUUAUAUAUUAAAAUAUAUAUGCUACAAAAAUAUAACUUUGAAAUGAUCAUUAAGUUUAAGAACUUGUUUGAUAUCUCAUGCUAAACUUCAUGGGAGGAGUAUUAUUAACAUAUGUCAUUUUAACAAUUAACUAGUUAAUUAACAUAAAUCACUAGUUAGAGAUGAGGAGAUAUAGCAAGUUUCAAUCCUCUUGUUGUUACUCCAUAUAUCCAUAUAAAAGAAAGUAAUGCAUUAUUAAAAUUUAUUAGAAAUUAUAAAACUAUAAAUACCAAAAGUAAUAUAAAUAUACAAGAACAAAAUCGAUAAAUUUUAUUAUAUCUUAAUCAACUUUUUAUCUUAAUUAAGAAUAGUUACGAGUCGAAAUUAUACGUGUUGUAACUUACUAUUAGUCAACAUAAUAGAACUCAAUUUGUUUAUUAAGAACAUGAUAUAAUUUUCUCUAUUAGAAGAACCAAUAUAAAAAUCACUAAGUAUUUUUCUCUUUCCUUAUCUUCCUUAUCUUGUUAAAAUUACAUGUUAUUAUCUUUGUACUAACUUAAGAAAGAGGAGCUUUUGACCCUAAUUUUUUGAGAAGUUUUUUAAUUGAUUAUCCAUCAAGUAUAACAUUAUGACCCGCACACAUAUUAUUAGACUAUAUUUGUGAAAAAUGCAGAAAAAAAAAUUUAAAACAUAAUUCAACCAUUUCUUCUUAAAUUUUACAAGUUUUUCACCCAUUUGAAAAAACCUUUUAUUGUAAAAAAAAAUCUUCAUUAUUUUUCUCAAUUGUUUGACUCAUUCAAUAUCCAUUAAGUUCAUGGUAUUUUAUCUCUCAACAUAACCAAAAUUACACAUUUUUUUUUGUACAAGUUGUUUAAAGAUGGCAAUAAGGCAUGACAAGUGUGGGUUUCACUAUCCUUAGCCCCAAAAUAAAAAUUCAUCAUCAUUAAGUAACAUGUAUAUCUACUCACUAAUCUUUAAUCUCCAUAGGUAUUAUCUGAAUUUGUCCUCAUUUUGAAGAAAAAUCUCCAACUAAUUGGGUGGACAUUACCCAAAAAAAUUUAAAUUAGGUAUGAGGAUGACAAUGAGUAUGUGCAUAUUCGCUUCAUCCCUCAUACUAGUCCUCAUUUUAAAUCACUAAAAUACAUUUAAUUUAUUAGAUAACCUAAAAACUUUAUAUUAAUUUUUAUUUUGUCCUUAGUAGUUUAUUUUUAUACAUUUGAUAAUUUUCACUCUUUUCUAUAAUUAUUUGACAUUUACUCCAUUAUCAUUUGAUACUUUGAUUUGAAAUUUAUGCAAUUAUAAUUUCUUUGUUGAUAUUUAAGUAAAGAAAAAGUGUAUUGUUUUGAAAUUGAGUAUUUGAUAAUAUCAUGUUUCCUCUUAUAUUUGAGUAUUUCAUCUUUUUUAUUAACAAAUUUUAAAUAUAAAAUUUUACUUAAAACUAAAUUUAAUGUCCCUCUUAAAAAUAAAAGAAAAUAAAGAUCAUAUUACAAUAAUGGAUAAGUGGGGUAUGAUUAUUUUUUGCAGAAAAAAUAAAAUAAUUAUUUUUCAUUCAGUAUCCCGCUCUAUGAGAUGGAACUAAGCGGUUAGAUUACUGAGUCCGUCCCGCACAUUUUGGUAGCAGAGCAUUUUGGUAACAGACACGCAUGACCCAUCUUGCAUUGUCAUCCCUAAGCAUACUUGAGGGUGGGGAUUAGAAAGAAAAGCAUGUAUCAACCUCACUUUAUUGUCAUUCCUAAUCCACAUUCCUACAAGUCCCCUUAUUAUUCCAAUUAUUAAUUAAAUAUUUAUAAAAAGAAUAAAAUUUAUAACAAAGAAAACAUAUUAUUAUUGAUUCAAUGUUAAAAUGAAACAUUUUCUUUUCUUUAAAGUAAAAUAUCAAUAUAGGAAAUUUUUUAUAUUGAAACAAAUGUUCUUCAAAUGAAAUUAAAUUAAAAGUAAAAGAGAGUAAAUAUAAGUAAGAGUUUAUGGAGAAACAAAUAUUCACAUGUAAAAAAAUAAAUAAUGAAAUGUUUAUCUAUUAAACUAUUUCAAUCAAUAAAAUUGGAUUUUUGUUUCGUGAAAAGCAAUAUAUUAUUCGAACAAGAUCACGCAAAAAAAAUGUGUAAUAAAGGAUGGGACAAAGGGGAAAAGUAUCAUAUAUUUGAGUGAAAUUUGUGGAUAAAAAACAAGUUAAAUAGUUAAGAAAGAGAAUGAAAAAUUAUCUAGAUAAAAAAAGAGGGAUUUUGAAACAAAAAUUGAAGACUAAAGAAAAAACUAAACAUAAAUUUUUUAGUUUACAAAAUAAGUUAUUAGUAUCUUAAUAAUUUAAAAUAAAGAUAGGUAUGAGGACUAGAAUGAGUACAAAACAUUGUAUAAUUUUGUUAAAAUUUAUCUAGUUAUAAUUUUGUUCUUACAAUUUGAUAAUGUGUAUCAUAGAUAAUAUCUUAUUUUUUAUUUUCACUUAAUUUUUCAUUAGAAAAAUAUUUAAAUAACAUUUGAGAUUAUGAUUGUUAUGAACAUCUUGGCAGAUUGGUAAUUUGUGAACUUUUUCCCCUAAAUGUCAUUAUACGGAAAAUGUCAUCUAAUCAUGUUGAUAAGGGAUAUUUUUUAACUUGAUAUUUUCUUCUGAAGUUGAAAAGAGAAAUAGAAACUCUUUUUCAAUACUUUUACUCUAGCUUUUUCAUCUUCUCGAUUAAAUACAGAAGUAGAUCUUUAUUUUAUCUUUUUAUUUUAUUUUUUUAGGGAAAAUGAUUGUGGUGAUUUUCAAUUUAAAAAUAAAACAAAGAUCUAAAGAAAAACAUAAUAAGAUUUUGAGUAAAAUUUAUGAAAAAGAAAAGUAGAGAUGGGAAGAUGUAGGGAAAAUGAUUGUUGUGAUUUUCAAUAAAGGAUGAAAUACAACUGCCCACUUUGUCAAAACCAUGUUGCAGAGAACUCUUUCGGAAGAGUGCAUUAAACAUAGCACAACACCGAUACACACUAUCCCUGCUGUUUAGAAAACAUAUAAACAAACUCUGUUCUUCAAAGGGUUACACAAAAACAAAAACAAAAAACAAUCAUUAGUUUAUAUUUUCAAAUUAGAAAUACGAGAAGAAAAUUUGACUUAAAACUAUGAAAUUUCAUCAAUAAAUCAUUAUUUUCUGUCCAGACCCUGAUUUCAUAUAACAUCAAUUUCAACAUGUAAUGGAAACAUUUUUGUGAAGUACAGGUUCAAAUAAACGUGUUGCAAUAAGAAUAUACCAAAGGUUCUAUCAGAUGAAUUAGUCAAAAAAGUUCCUUAUGAAUGUCGUUGUUACGUAGUCACAUAGUAACAGAAGGAAAGGACCGAAAGAAAGGAAUAGACAAAAAGAAGAUACCUUGUUGACCUAGUUUACAAAUAAAGUUCAGACCAAAUUAAAUUACUAGGAAUAAACUAAAAGUAAAUUAAAGCACUCCUUUAAAAUUAACUUACAUCCAAACACCCUCCAACAAAUUAUGUUGAACAAAACUCUAUAACUGGUAUCAAAUUCUCGAGAAUAAUUUUACAAAUUAUGUAUCUAACUUCAUAUUUAGAAUUCUUUAUCAACGGACUAAAAUAGUGAUAUUUUGCUCUAACAGAAAGCAGGUACAUCAUCAGCACGGAAAAUUCAUUCUCAUCCACAGCAGUUUUCUGCUGUGUAGGAAGGUGUCCUAAGAUUCUUCCAAUUUCAUCACAUGAUGUAACAAACACACAAAGAGAUCUUCAAAGCCACAAACAAAUUCUUAAGCAUUUAUGCAUUGCCUAUGUCAAAUAACAUAUGAAAAUAAGUGCACAAACGAAAAUCAAUUCGCAUCAAUGAUUAUGAAAUUAUAUGAAGACUCAGAUAAAGUGUAGGAUUAUAUAUUUUGCUUCAUCCAAAUCUAACAAAGUUCAAACCACGAUACACAUCAAAGUGAAGGUUUUCUGAACGCAAAUCUCUAAUUUUGUUUCCCGACGUCCAAUUGCAGCAUCAAAAUUGCCACAUUGGAUAGCGAGGGGAACGCACAUCUCGGCUUCAGUUUAAGAUUGCCAAACACAUACAAAAACGUGCAAGCAAAAAUCUCAUAAGAAAACAGAAGCCUUUCAAAUGAACAAAAAAAAUAAUGCACAAAACAAAAUUAUCAAAUGGAAAUCUAGGAGAAACACAAGAUAACUCAGUCCCUUAGAUGUUCAAAUAAUGUUUACGAUCAUACCCGCAAAUCAUUACAGGUCUGUAGGCUCAUCACAGUUAAAAAUAGCAUAAACCCAAUUACAGAACCGACCAGAAAACAAAAACUAAAAUAACAGGGAAAAUAUAAUUUCAGAAUGAAAUUUAAUUUAGUUGAUCCAAUGUCCUCCCACAACCAAGGGAUUAUGGAACAGAUAAAAAAGAACAACACAUACACUAUUGCUUCUAGGGAACGAGUCCAAAGGGAAUUGAAUUAAUCCACAUUGACCAGAUAAAGAAGCUAUUUUGAAAUGCUAACUCCAAAGUGAAAACCAACUAAAUGAUGAAAAUGCUAAAUAAUUGAUAAUUGUACGAGAAGUAUCUCUACCUGGCUACCUGUAUAGUAUUCUCAGUCCCAAAGUCAAAAAAAAAAUAAAAAAUCAUCAUUACUAACUUAACAUCAUCAUUUAACCUUUUCAACAUUUUAGAAAUAAAUAAUUGUUUGCUUUGAAAGUACUGCCCAAUGUAUACCAAAUAACAAAAUAAAAGCAUUAAUUUCGAAAAAACUUCAACCCACGGACUCAAAUAAGAAUGAAGUGUUAACAAGAAAAAAUUAUUCAAAUUCUACCAUAAAUCCUAAAUUUCUGCAUUCAAACAUCCGUAAUUAUUUCUAAUUUUAAUGGCUAAAAAAAAUCUUCUAUUCACAUAAGAACUGAGUACAUCAUCAGUAUGGAAAAUGCAUUCUCAUCCACAGCAGUUAUUUGCUGUGUAGGAAGGUGUCCUAAGAUUUAUCCAAUUUCAUCACAUGAUGUCACCAACACAAAUAAAGAGAUCUGUAAGGCCACAAACAAUAGAGAAAUUUUCGCAUAUGAAUACAAAAGGAUCCAAUCUGUUUGUAACAAAAACAAAAAAUCAAUAACAAAAUUGCAACAAUGCAUAGCGAAGGUAACACAGAUCUCGAUAUCAAAUAAACAACACAAAAAAUUUAAAACAAGUGCAAAAUCGAACGAAAAUUGACAACUCAGUCCCUUAGAUGUUCAAUUGUGUUUGCGAUCAUAGCCGCAAAUCAUUACAGGUCUGUAGGCUCAUCACAGUUGAAAAUAGCACUGCCAAAGUUAUCCAAUCGACGAAAAACAGACAACACAAACCAAAAUUUUAGUAGAAAAAUGAAUUUAGCUGCUCCAGUAUGCUCCCAAAACCAAAGUAUUGUGGAAAAGAUAUUAAAGAACAACACAAAUGACUAUUGCUUCAAGGGAACGAGUCGAAUGGGAAUGGAAGUAAUCCGCACCGACCAGAUAGAGAAGCGUACGGUGAAUUGAAAAUAGAAAAGUGGAAGAGAGGCAGAGAAAUUAGAAACCCUAAUUUCAUAGGCAGAGGCUACGAAGAAGAGAUGGAACACAGUGCAAGGAAAAAGUGAGGUUUAUAUAGUGUGGAUUGAAGUGGGAGGCGCCCUCUUAUUCAGGUGUGAUUUGCGAUGACCCAGCCAAUUUUAAGGCAAUAAAUUAGAAUUUAACUUUAAUUUAAUAUUAUAUAACUGGUUUGGUAAUAUCAGAUAACUGAUUUUAGUGAGAUAAGGUUUUAUUUAUUUAUAUAUCAUAAUUUAUUUUUAUAUUGAUUUAAUACUAUUUUUAAAAAUGUACAAGCUUUUAAUAUUAUUUUAUUUUAUUUUUAAUUAAUGUGUGAUUUUCAAUAUAUACAUUAAUUCAAAUACAUAUAAUAUAAGAAUAAAGAGAAACUCUACUAUGGAUGACAUAAUAAAUUCUAUAUGCUUAGAAGGAUUUUGAUAUCAUAUCUAAAUUGUAAAAUUUAAUUAAUUUUAACAUCACAAUGUCUAAAAUAGAUUUUUUAUAUAUCACAAUAUAACUUUAUUUUUAAUUGAUAUUAAAUCUUCAAUCCAACAUAUUACAUUUUAAGACAUAAACAAAACUUAUAUUAGCAUGUAGAACACUUUUUCAUUUUCUUUGUAAGAAAGUUAUUGUUCAGAUUCUUAGAUGAAUCUCUACGUUCAAACUUUUAAUUAACGAAUAUAAUAACUUUGAAUUGAACCUAUUAUUUAAAUUUGCAAUUAAUGAAUAUAACUUUGAAUUCAUUGUUCAAAUUCAAGAGGGAAAAAAUACAAACAAAUCAAAAAAAAUUGCAGCUUUAAAUCAAUGGAGAAAUGUUAUAAUCGAAAGCAAUAAACUAAAGUAAAUUAGUUAGCAUAAUAUGGAUUUGUUUUGCAUUUUUCUAUUCAAAUCUUAUCAUUUGUUUUAUAUCUUUUUUCAUUCAAUAUGGUAGUUGUUUUGAAAUUUAAUAUUCACAGUUUUUGUUUUUAUUCUUCUGAAGAUAGUGAAUUAUUGAUUGUGUAUCUCUCUUUCAUACAUAUUCUAUUUUUUUCCUUGGAUGUUAGUAUUUUAUCAACUAAGAACAGUGUAAUAAAAAUAAAAAAUAAAAAAUAAAAGUUGCUCAUUAUUUUCAAUAUGACUCAAUAGUAUAAAUAGUAUACUACUAAAAUGUUGUUUGUAUCUUAAAUGGUUUGUUGUAAUGUCAACACUAAUUGCCAUUAGAAUUUUAUUCACUCUAGUUUCGUAUAGUAAAAUAGUAUGUAAAGAUGCAUUUCACUAUAUAAAAAAAAAGAGUAAGAUGAAUAAUAUUUAUGAUUUUUUUUUUAAAUCAUGAAAUCCUUCACACUGUGUUUGGAUGAUGAAUUUUAAAAACAACUUUUUUUAUAGAAAAGUUUAAAUGUUUUAUGAAAAAAUAAUUGGUUUGAAUAUACAGUCUUAAAAAAUUAAACAAAAAUUGUAGGAUUUUUUAAAAAAGUAACCCAAUUAUUUAAAAUUAGACAUUUUUAAAUUCCACUUAAAAAUUAAGAAGUUAAAAUUCACCAUUUCUCAAAUUUGUCCCUUUUUUAUAUUUUCUCUUUUAUUAUGUUAUGAUUAAUAUAUAUGAUCACUAUUUUGAACAUGUACAUAAUAUCUAUAGUUAUAGAGCAAUGAAUUGUAUUUAUAAUGAAACUAAUAUCAUUAGUGUUUUCACAUAUAGGAGGAAUGUUGUCCAAAUUCAAAUCAUAUUUCACUUAGUUGUUUUUUAUUUAACAAAUUUCACUAUAACAACUUUUAUUUGUUAAGUAUUCUACUAAAUGCAAAUAUUGAUACCAAUUAAGAGGUUGGGUUUUCACGAAACACCUAAGGUAAGAUUUUAAUCAUUGAUUAAGCACUUCUGUUUGGCCAUCCAUUUGGGAAUGAUAUGACGAACUGAACUUGAAUGUAGUGCCUUGUGUUAUGAACAUGUGUCUCCAAAAAGUUUUGACGAACAAAGGGUCAUAUUAGAUACAAUUUUUUUUGGUACGCCAUGGAGGUAAUCCAUGAGGUUUUUGGAAGAUCUUAUGGUAGUGUUGGAGAAGAGAUGAGAUGGGUGCGAGAAGAAUGUAUAGUAGGGAUGAUGGGUUAUGUUUUUCGGUCUCUACGGAUGGAGGUGACAUGGGAUGGGGUUCCAUAGAUAAAAGGUGUAAGGAAGCAAUAAAGUUGGUGGGUAGGUAUUGGCAAAAUUGGUAAUACGUAGUAGCUGAUGGUGGGAUGAAGUGUGGGCUUGUAAUUUGAUUUGGUGGUUGUUGUGAGUAAAAGCGAUACUCGUUACUGAGAAAUCUACCUUAAAGGAAAUUUCCAAAAUAACAUUUGCACCUUCAAUGGGGAGAAGGUAGAAGGAAAUAGUAAUUAUGGAUAUUGAUGUCCACUUGUGGGUAAAUUCCUUGCCAUUUAAUGAAAGUGCCAUUUCCAAUCAUUACAGAUAGGGGUGGACUAGGUGAGAUGGGUAGGUUUAAAUGGUGAGCAAUGCGAGGCUGGAGAAAGUUGUGAGAGCUGCUUGAGUCAAUCAAAACUGUAACUGGAAGGUUCUGAAUUAAGCCUGUGAAUUUGAGAGUUUUAGGUGAAAUGGUUAAUGUGAGGGCUUGAGGAGAAAGGUGAAAGUGGAUAGUGUUAAUGUAAUUAGUAGAGGAGGGGAUAUCAUCUGUGGGUUUAGUUGUGGUUUCAGGGUCAUCCAAUAGCAGAAAAAACGAGUUGUAAUGUAUUUGUGUCCCGAAAUAAAUUUUUUAUCACAAUUGUAGCAUAAUCUCAAGGGCCUUCUUUCUUGCAUUUGAGAUGUGGGUAAGCGUUAGAUGGGUAUAAUACCUGUUGGUGGGGGAACAAGAUGGGGUUUAGAUAUGUUGGUUGUGGAAGUGCUAUUGGAAGGAUGUGUGUGGUAAAGUAAGGGAAAACAAUUAUGUUUAGGUUUUGAAUCCCUAAUUUUGUCUUCAAUUAGCUUGGCUAUAUAGAAUAUGAGUUCAAGAUGGUUAGCUUUAUGCAUAUCUCAAUAUGCAAACUGGAAAUGAGACCCACAAUACAAUUGCAUAACUGUUCAAAAUAACAUUGAUAUUCAGUAACUGAUGUUGUUGUGUAUGUUGAUGGGUCAAAACGAAGCUCCAAGGAUCGUGUGAAUGAUUGUCAAACAGGUUGUUAUUGUGCAACCAUUUGAACCAGGAAAGAGCUUCUCCAUGCAUGUGAAACGCAACCAUGGAUACACGUGUUCUGGUGGUAUGGUAUCUGAUAGAAGGAGAAAUACUGGUCUACUUGAAAGAGCCAAUUCAAUGGGUUGUUGCGAUCAAAGAAGAGUAGGUUGAGUAUGGUUUGAGUGUAGGGGGUGGAGGGUGUUGAUGCUAGAAGUGGGAUUGAUUUGAAUGAGUGUUGGUUUGGUGGUUGACGGGUGGUAGCUUAUUCUCAUAAUGUGAAAGAGACACAACCUGAUUAAGGAGAGAUGUGAAAUUAGAAUGAAGAUAAUCAUUCCUCGCCUCUAGUGGAAAUUGCCGAUUGUUGUUUUCAUCUAGUUGGAUUUGAAUCACUAUGAGGUGUUCUUGGAUGUUGUGCAAGACCUCUUACAAAUUUCUAGAAGGUGGUUUGGGAGGCAUGGAAAACAAUGAAAGCACAAAAUCAAUUAGGUUUUUGCUAUAGUUACUAAUAAAACUAUGGUUUACCAAAUCCUUCUUUGUCUUUCUCAUAUCUAAUAAUACCCUUUAAAAGAGUGUAUGUGGGCUAUGAGUUUUACAAACUUAAAAGAUACAUUAAAGACUUCUUCCUGCACCCUAAGUUUCUCUUCCUGCACUCUCACAAUUUUCUAAAUCCCACAAUUUUCUAAAUCCAAAACCUGACCUUGACCUUUUAUUUGAAAAAGGACACCAUGGUUAUCAUAAAUUGGGAUUUAGGAUUUAGGAGUGUGCUACGGAUUUAGAGGUAUUCUAAAAACAAAUUUUGCAUUGCGGAAUUCAAUAGCCUAAUUCGAUUACAGAUUGGUGAAUCUGAAAUGUUUUUUUUUUAAUUAUGGAUUUCUGAAUGCUUCCAAUUUCAUAAUAGAGAACGCAAACAAAUAAAUACAGUUGAUGCGCAUUUUAUGAUUUUUAAAAAAAUAAUAGGAAUAAUUUGGUUUUUGAUAUAAUUUUUGGGAUUGCAGGAAAAAAAAAUAGAGAUUUAUGAAGAAAUUGCCUCCAUUAAAAUGUCUUUGGACUAUCCCAAAAAAAACUCCUUUAUCCAUUUAGGUUGUGACAGACAUCUAGUGCAUCCCACGUUUGUUUAAUGCAUUUGAAGGCUUGUAAUUUUGCAUUCUAAACCUUAGAGAUGGCACACAUGAAAGCAUCGAGUUCUUUAACAUACACAGUUAUAAAUAUCUAUUGGGCUCUUUUUAGCAAGAAUGGUGAUUUCUUGACAAGAUACACAAAAAUAAACAUGUCCUUGACAACUAAAUAAAUUAAUUUUAAUUAUAUUUAAUUUAUUUUUUAAUCUAAAAUAUUAUUAUAUUAGUAUAAUGAUUUGUUAAUUAUAUGUAUUUUACGUUUUGUGUCAACAGAAUGUUUUCCUAUCGCCAAAAACUUCAUUAGAUAUGUUUCUAUUCUUCAGUCCAGGAAUGAAGACUAAUUUGAUUUCAUUUUUUUAAUAGAUAUUUUUAAUUUGAGUUCAUUUUAAAUAAUGAUAAUAUUCUCAAAUUUACUUCAAUAUUCUAUUAGUCAAAUAUAAAAUAUUAAAAAUUAAAUUAUUUCAUUAAAAAUUAAAGAUUUAAUAAAUAAUGAAUAUUAAAUUUGAAUUAAAAAUGUGAACAAAAUACCGUGAAUUUAACUUCCUAGGGUUAAUUCAAUCUUGGUGAUUAAAAAAAGAUCCUCAGUUUCGAUAUAUCAUCAGUAUGGAAAAGUCAUUCUCAUCCACAGCAGUGUUCUGCUGUGUAGGAAGGUGUCCUAAGAUUAUUCCAAUUUCAUCACAUGAUAUAACUAAAACCACAGAACAGAGUUUAAAAGUCAAUAAUUAUAAUGCCAUUAACGGCACUACAAGGGAUCUUACGAACCAUCGCAUACUAUGCCAAUUAUCAAAAUGUAGCAAUAAAAAUGUGUUGAAACACGGGCAUAAAACAUAAUGAAACCUAGUUCUAAAACGUAAUGAAAACUUAUUCAUGGUCAGAAUAAAAAAGAAGGAAAAGGUUGUAAAACCUAUGCAAUUUACCAGCUUGAUUGCUUCAAAAAAAUACCGAGAUUCAGAAGCAUAGAAUCAUUUUUACCAUCACUAGUAAUAACUCAGAUCAAGUGUUGGAUUAUAUAUUUAGCUUCAUCCCAAUCUGCAAACAUUCAAACCUUAAACCAAAAAACAAAAGAUCUCAAAAAAACUAAAACAAAAAAAAAAGUACAAAAAAUAAUAAAUCUCACGUUCUGAAUACCAAAAUGGGGGAUUUUGUUCCCCGACGUCCAAUUGCAGCAUCAAAUUGCAACAACGGAUAGCGAGGGGAACACACAUUUCGGCUUCAAUUAAACAACACUAAACACCUUCGAACAAGUGCAAGCGAAGAUCUAAAAGAAAAUUGAGGCCUUUAAAAAAUGAACAUGUAAUUGAAGAACAAAAACAGAGCAAUAAAAAUAAACAACUAAACACAAUGACUUCACAUGCCAUAAACUUUAACAAAACAAAAAAUCACUAAAUGAAAAACGGGGAGCAAUAAUAAACAACUCAGUCCCUUAGAUGUUCAAUUAUGUUUGCGAUCAUAGCCGCAAAUCAUUACAGGUCUGUAGACUCAUCACAGUUGAAAAUAGCAAUUCCCAAAUUAUGCAAUCGAUGAAAAAACUAAAACCUAAACCAGAAAAACAAAACUUUGGUAGAAAAUUGGAUUUAGUUGCUCCAUUAUGUUCCCAAAACCAAGGGAUUGUGGAAAAGAUACUACAGAACAACACAAAAGACUAUAGCUUCAAGGGAACGAGUCGAAUGGGAAUGGAAGUAAUCCGCACCGACCAGAUAAAGAAGCAACAAGUUGAUCGGGAUUAGAGAGUAGAAUAGAGACAAAAGGAGAAAACAAGAAACCCUAAUUUCGAAAGCAGAGACUAAGAAGAAGAGAAACCCUAAUUUCGUAGGCAGAGGCUGAGAAGAAGAGAUACGGCACAAAAGCAAUGGUAAGUGUCGUUUAUAUAGUGAGGAUUAGAGUGAGUG